RNAcentral lists this ribosomal RNA (491 nucleotides) under uncultured bacterium. Its description in RNAcentral is "partial 16S ribosomal RNA". It matches the Rfam family "Bacterial small subunit ribosomal RNA", at positions 29 to 507 of the family's 1533-position model. The record is from RNAcentral.
AUUGAACGCUGGCGGCAUGCUUUACACAUGCAAGUCGAACGGUAACAGGCCUUCGGGUGCUGACGAGUGGCGAACGGGUGAGUAAUGCAUCGGAACGUGCCCAGAGGUGGGGGAUAACGAGCCAAAAGCUGUCUUAAUCCCCAAUGGGAUCGGGGGUUGAAAGGGGGGGCCAAGGAGGCAAUGUUUGGCCUGGGCCCCCUGGACGGCCGGUGUCCGAUUAGGUAGUUGGUGGGGUAAAGGCCUACCAAGCCGACGGAUGGUAGCUGGUCUGAGAGGACGACCAGCCACACUGGGACUGAGACACGGCCCAGACUCCUACGGGAGGCAGCAGUGGGGAAUUGUGGACAAUGGGCGCAAGCCUGAUCCAGCAAUGCCGCGUGCGGGAAGAAGGCCUUCGGGUUGUAAACCGCUUUUGUACGGAACGAAAAGGCUCUGGCUAAUACCUGGGGCUGAUGACGGUACCGUAAGAAUAAGCACCGGCUAACUACGUG